GUGAACUCUGCCACUAGCCAGGCCCACUUUUGGGCGUGGCUAGAGGCCUGCACACUUUCUGAAUUUCCUCUUCAAAGCACAAGUGUGGACAGAACAUGGUAUUCUAGACCUACUUGGUGCCACCUUCCCUGUUUUGAACAACUUGCUACACUGACAGUCACUACCAGCAGCACAAGAGGACCAUGGUGGGAGUGUCAGUUAAGCAUCCAUGAAGCUACUUAGAAGGCCAAAUGGCCACUAAUAUUCAGACAUAUUAGGCUGAAUGGAGGCAUAAAUUUGUGAACUUUUAAGGUGCUGAAGGAAGAAUAGCAUGGGGAUUUCAACCCUGAAUUUGGAGGACACCAGUAAAUGUCUGCACCCCAUGCCCAUGCAUCUGCAUAAAUUGUGAUGGAUAAGAAGGAGAUGAUCUUGUUCCCAGCUGUCCACUUCCUAAACAAGUGUGGUGCUAACUCCUUCACACAAGAAGAGAUAGAGCUUCCUGAGUAAUCCAGAUUCAUUUUAUAAGGAGGGGUCAUGGUAGUACCCCAGACUAUCCUGGAACUCAAUACAUAGUUCAGAGCAUUUGUCUUCUCAGAUAUGAACUGGAACACUUUGUAAUGGCCUCUACUCACAGAAAGGUAGCAUGGCAUGGCCCAAGCUUGUACAGUACUUCAUGGCACUUGCUGGCUACAGGAUCUUGGAAAGACUUUUAUAGUUUUGAGGAGAAUCAGUUAGAGUUCAUCCUGACAGAAUAAUGAAAGAAACAAACUAAACUCACCGAAACAAAAUGUUUAUCAGGUAAAUAUGCAAACAUUCCUGUUACAGAAGACAGAAUGAAGGAAGAAAAAUUCGUUAUAUCCUGAGACUGCAGCCCUGAAUAUCUGACUUGAUUUUACUUAAAGAAAUAGCACAAAUGAGCCAAUGAAUCAGCCAGGAAUUAUUUGCCUACCUUACCCAGUGGAGUUUUUCAUGCUCCUUCAAUGUUAAAUUCUGAAAUGGUCCACCCUCAGCUGCCUCCUCUGAUGUGAACUUGCCAGCAUGCACAUGUGUGAAAGGAAAAUUGUGUAAAUUAAACCAGAAGUCUUG
This is a long non-coding RNA of Mesocricetus auratus (golden hamster), 1065 nucleotides long. RefSeq lists it as uncharacterized. NCBI's taxonomy places the organism in Eukaryota, Metazoa, Chordata, Mammalia, Rodentia, Cricetidae. The record is from RefSeq and is a predicted model, not a curated record. The transcript has 5 exons.